This 346-nucleotide ribosomal RNA is filed under the name uncultured bacterium. RNAcentral's name for it is "bacterial SSU rRNA". It matches the Rfam family "Bacterial small subunit ribosomal RNA", at positions 8 to 334 of the family's 1533-position model. The record is from RNAcentral.
AGGGUUCGAUUAUGGCUCAGGAUGAACGCUGGCGGCGUGCUUAACACAUGCAAGUCGAACGAAGCGCCUUAUUUGAUUUUCUUCGGAACUGAAGAUUUGGUGACUGAGUGGCGGACGGGUGAGUAACGCGUGGGUAACCUGCCCUGUACAGGGGGAUAACAAUCAGAAAUGACUGCUAAUACCGCAUAAGACCACAGCACCGCAUGGUGCAGGGGUAAAAACUCCGGUGGUACAGGAUGGACCCGCGUCUGAUUAGCUGGUUGGUGAGGUAACGGCUCACCAAGGCGACGAUCAGUAGCCGGCUUGAGAGAGUGAACGGCCACAUUGGGACUGAGACACGGCCCAA